AGGUUAAGUCAAGACUCAGGGUUAUUAACCCUGAGCAUUUCGUCUCUAUUGAAAGUGCUUUACAACCCUCAGGCCUUCUUCACACACGCGGUAUUGCUGGAUCAGGCUUGCGCCCAUUGUCCAAUAUUCCCCA
RNAcentral lists this ribosomal RNA (133 nucleotides) under uncultured bacterium. RNAcentral describes it as "partial 16S ribosomal RNA". The record is from RNAcentral.